UUUAUGGAGAGUUUGAUCCUGGCUCAGGAUGAACGCUGGCGGCGUGCCUAAUACAUGCAAGUCGAGCGAACGGACGAGAAGCUUGCUUCUCUGAUGUUAGCGGCGGACGGGUGAGUAACACGUGGAUAACCUACCUAUAAGACUGGGAUAACUUCGGGAAACCGGAGCUAAUACCGGAUAAUAUUUUGAACCGCAUGGUUCAAAAGUGAAAGACGGUCUUGCUGUCACUUAUAGAUGGAUCCGCGCUGCAUUAGCUAGUUGGUAAGGUAACGGCUUACCAAGGCAACGAUGCAUAGCCGACCUGAGAGGGUGAUCGGCCACACUGGAACUGAGACACGGUCCAGACUCCUACGGGAGGCAGCAGUAGGGAAUCUUCCGCAAUGGGCGAAAGCCUGACGGAGCAACGCCGCGUGAGUGAUGAAGGUCUUCGGAUCGUAAAACUCUGUUAUUAGGGAAGAACAUAUGUGUAAGUAACUGUGCACAUCUUGACGGUACCUAAUCAGAAAGCCACGGCUAACUACGUGCCAGCAGCCGCGGUAAUACGUAGGUGGCAAGCGUUAUCCGGAAUUAUUGGGCGUAAAGCGCGCGUAGGCGGUUUUUUAAGUCUGAUGUGAAAGCCCACGGCUCAACCGUGGAGGGUCAUUGGAAACUGGAAAACUUGAGUGCAGAAGAGGAAAGUGGAAUUCCAUGUGUAGCGGUGAAAUGCGCAGAGAUAUGGAGGAACACCAGUGGCGAAGGCGACUUUCUGGUCUGUAACUGACGCUGAUGUGCGAAAGCGUGGGGAUCAAACAGGAUUAGAUACCCUGGUAGUCCACGCCGUAAACGAUGAGUGCUAAGUGUUAGGGGGUUUCCGCCCCUUAGUGCUGCAGCUAACGCAUUAAGCACUCCGCCUGGGGAGUACGACCGCAAGGUUGAAACUCAAAGGAAUUGACGGGGACCCGCACAAGCGGUGGAGCAUGUGGUUUAAUUCGAAGCAACGCGAAGAACCUUACCAAAUCUUGACAUCCUUUGACAACUCUAGAGAUAGAGCCUUCCCCUUCGGGGGACAAAGUGACAGGUGGUGCAUGGUUGUCGUCAGCUCGUGUCGUGAGAUGUUGGGUUAAGUCCCGCAACGAGCGCAACCCUUAAGCUUAGUUGCCAUCAUUAAGUUGGGCACUCUAAGUUGACUGCCGGUGACAAACCGGAGGAAGGUGGGGAUGACGUCAAAUCAUCAUGCCCCUUAUGAUUUGGGCUACACACGUGCUACAAUGGACAAUACAAAGGGCAGCGAAACCGCGAGGUCAAGCAAAUCCCAUAAAGUUGUUCUCAGUUCGGAUUGUAG
This 1321-nucleotide ribosomal RNA is filed under the name Staphylococcus aureus. RNAcentral's name for it is "bacterial SSU rRNA". It matches the Rfam family "Bacterial small subunit ribosomal RNA", at positions 1 to 1303 of the family's 1533-position model. Lineage: Bacteria; Bacillati; Bacillota; Bacilli; Caryophanales; Staphylococcaceae. The record is from RNAcentral.